CCCUUAUAGCUUAGUCGGUAAAGAGUCUGCCUGCAAUGCAGGAGACUUAGGUUUGAUUCCUGGAUCAGGAA
Molecule: transfer RNA, 71 nt
Filed under: Bos taurus (domestic cattle)
Lineage: Eukaryota; Metazoa; Chordata; Mammalia; Artiodactyla; Bovidae
Also listed under: 3 other names
Rfam family: tRNA
About the family: Transfer RNA (tRNA) molecules are approximately 80 nucleotides in length. Their secondary structure includes four short double-helical elements and three loops (D, anti-codon, and T loops).
Source: Rfam by way of RNAcentral